RNAcentral lists this ribosomal RNA (103 nucleotides) under Helicobacter sp. MIT 14-3879. Its description in RNAcentral is "partial 16S ribosomal RNA". It matches the Rfam family "Bacterial small subunit ribosomal RNA", at positions 1 to 99 of the family's 1533-position model. The record is from RNAcentral. Lineage: Bacteria; Pseudomonadati; Campylobacterota; Epsilonproteobacteria; Campylobacterales; Helicobacteraceae.
UUAUGGAGAGUUUGAUCCUGGCUCAGAGUGAACGCUGGCGGCGUGCCUAAUACAUGCAAGUCGAACGAUGAAGUCUCUAGCUUGCUAGAGAUGGAUUAGUGGC